RNAcentral lists this transfer RNA (90 nucleotides) under Collinsella stercoris. RNAcentral describes it as "tRNA-Ser". It matches the Rfam family "tRNA". From Rfam's summary of the family: Transfer RNA (tRNA) molecules are approximately 80 nucleotides in length. RNAcentral also lists the same sequence under 3 other names. Lineage: Bacteria; Bacillati; Actinomycetota; Coriobacteriia; Coriobacteriales; Coriobacteriaceae. The record is from RNAcentral.
GGAGAGAUGGCAGAGCGGUUGAAUGCGGCGGUCUUGAAAACCGUUGGGCACGCGAGUGUCCCGGGGGUUCGAAUCCCCCUCUCUCCGCCA